GAAAUGCGAUACGUAGUGUGAAUUGCAGAAUUCCGUGAACCAUCGAAUCUUUGAACGCAUAUUGCGCUCGACCCCCCGGGGAAGAGCAUGUCUGCCUCAGCGUCGGUUUACACCCUCACCCCACUUACUUCACAGUAAGCGCUUGCUGCGUUGUAUGACCAGCAACUGGGAUGGAUCUGGCCCUCCCAAUUGAAGCAAUUCGAUUGGGUUGGCUGAAGCACAGAGGCUUAAACUGGGACCCGUACCGGGCUCAACUGGAUAGGUAGCAACACCUUCGGGUGCCUACACGAAGUUGUGUCUGAGGACCUGGUUAGGAGCCAAGCAGGAAACAUGGAAACAUGUACUCUGUAUUCGACCUGAGCUCAGGCAAGGCUACCCGCUGAACUUAA
This 389-nucleotide unclassified non-coding RNA is filed under the name uncultured fungus. RNAcentral describes it as "sequence contains ITS1". The stretch from base 1 to 105 matches the Rfam family "5.8S ribosomal RNA", at positions 50 to 154 of the family's 154-position model. Lineage: Eukaryota; Fungi. The record is from RNAcentral.